GCCCUCCUUCGCUUUGCAAAAAGCCACAGAGUUGGGUCGAUCACGGAGACCUGGGGCUGCUCCUUCUCACAGGAACCUUGGAUUCCCUCAUGGACCAGCCAGGAGCUCCGUGCUGCAACGCUGCCAGGCUGCUGAGAUGAAAAUGGGCUUCCCUGCAUGGCUUCUCACCCAUGGAUGGAAAUGAUUUGGGGUCUGCCUUCAUGCCAGUUAACACUUCUUGGUACUUGACUUGGUUUCUGCUGGGAGGUUUCUUCCCCUCGGAAGGAUCCGCUGGGGCUCCUUGUCAGAUCAGUUCUUGGGUGGAGCUUGCAGCAACUUCUGGAAAGUGCUGAGCUCUCCUGACAGCAGGGCUUGGUGGGGCUCAGGGCAGAGCUCAGCUCUGGGGAACUUGGGCUGGCAAGCAGAGAGCUCCCUGUGCUGCCAGGGAUGCCCAGAGCGGGUGCACACACCACAGGGUCCUUUUUCACAGGGCCAUUUUGCUCUUGCUUUUAACCCAGACGCUCUGUCCGUGCAAGACUGACAAUAAAUAACCCUCUCGAGCGCUGUGGAGAGAUGGAAACUGCAGCUGAGGAAUGAUUUUGGGGAGAGGAAGACAGAAAAGCACAAGCAAACUGUUAUGGAGGUGCAAAUACUCUUCUAAAGGAUUCGGCAAAUGCACCACGCUCUGUCUCCAAAUCAGCCCUUGGAUUUCCUGCUGUGAGCUGCAUGAAGAUGUUUUGUGGCUGUUUUCUGCCCAGACCUGGGUUUUUCACACCCUAACCUAAGCCAGAAUGCUUCUGCUGUGCCCAUUGACCUCUUUGCUGGUGCGGGCUAUGGGGUCUGGCUGUAGCCCCAGCAAGGGAGAUUUCUCUUCAGAGGAAACCUGGUAACCCUUUGGAGGGAGUGCCUGGGAAUGAGCAGGAGCUGCUGAGCAGAGCUCUGCUGCAGGUUGGUGAUGUGGAUGUUUAAUUUCUGCCUCACAAACCCUGUGAAACGCCGGCUCCCGGCGCUGUGCCUUGGGUGUGGUCCCAGAUCUACCCAGAGAGAAGUGGAGAGAAGUCCCCAAAGAGCCAAAACAGAGCUCAGGAAGCAUCAGA
Molecule: long non-coding RNA, 1076 nt
Filed under: Lonchura striata (white-rumped munia)
Lineage: Eukaryota; Metazoa; Chordata; Aves; Passeriformes; Estrildidae
Description: domestica (Bengalese finch) lncRNA (ENSLSDG00000009408.1)
Source: RNAcentral